This 299-nucleotide ribosomal RNA is filed under the name uncultured bacterium. RNAcentral describes it as "partial 16S ribosomal RNA". It matches the Rfam family "Bacterial small subunit ribosomal RNA", at positions 28 to 327 of the family's 1533-position model. The record is from RNAcentral.
GACGAACGCUGGCGGCGUGCUUAACACAUGCAAGUCGAGCGGUAAGGCCCUUCGGGGUACACGAGCGGCGAACGGGUGAGUAACACGUGGGUGACCUGCCUCUAGCUCUGGGAUAAGCCUGGGAAACUGGGUCUAAUACCGGAUAUGACUCCACGGCGCAUGUUGGUGGGGUAGGAAAGCCUUGUGUGGCUAGAGAUCGGGCCCGCGGCCUAUCAGCUUGUUGGUGGGGUGAUGGCCUACCAAGGCGACGACGGGUAGCCGGCCUGAGAGGGCGACCGGCCACACUGGGACUGAGACAC